CCCGGGGAGGAGGAAGGCGUGCGGAAGCAGCCCAGACCGGCGGAGGCGGAGGGAACGAUUGCUUGGAAGGCAAGGACCGAUUCCUGCCAUGGCGACUCAGCCCAUCCCAGUCUCAAAGCAGACCAGAGAAGCCGUGUGUGGCAUCCCAACGGAGGUGGUGUGCACCUCCUUUGGAGCCACGAUCCUGGUGGUGGUGACCCAGUAUGGAAAGAUGGGGACUCUGGUCUCAGUGGAGCCUGACGCAGUACCUGAUGGGAUCAACAGAACUUCGUGGACCACGAAAGUUCUCCUGGGCAAGGAUGAGCCUCUUGUCCACAUCUCCGCCAAGCACCUGGUGACCUCGGUGUCUCAAGAAGCUGGCAACAAGGCCGUUCUGCUGGCAAUGGCUCUCAAGGACAAAAGCAUCGAAGGCAUCCGGAGGUUGAAGGAACUCAUCCAUCAAUGCCGAGUGUGGUGAUGGUGGACCCAAAAGAAUUCUUUGGAGGCCAGAGGCCGUCUGCCUGAGGUUAAUGUUGGUUUGGAUGCAAACUUGAUUGUGUACAUUGAGGUCUCCAAACUCGGCAACUUUAAGACUUGUGGACUUCAACUCCCAGAAUUCUCCAGCCAGCAUAGCUGGGAAUUCUGGGAGUUGAAGUCCAUGGGUCUUAAAAUCAGGUCUUAAAGUUGCCAAGUUUGGGGACUCCUGGGGUACACGCUAAUUUUUUUUUCCUGUUCAUAACUCUUAUUUUGAACUUUGACAAUGAACAUUUGUGGGUAAGCUGACACAAUGGGUGUCAAUUCAUGUUACAUAAACAUUCACAAGUACCUGUUCAGAAACCUGCUGUAACCAUUAAAAAGUUUGAUGUUGUACCUGCCUAGGAAUUAGCCCCAGCAAAUUUUAUAGCAAGUUUUCCUAGUUAAUUGGGUUUUUUUCUGAGGAAACCCAAGGAAGUUUCAAACGUUGAACAGGUUUUUCCCAGUUGCAAUGUUUAAAUUUCUCCCCCCACCCCUUCAUUUUUUCCCCUUACAUUUCAGUUUUAUAGCACAUCGGAAGUAGUUCAGGUUACAAAUAGUAUUCAACGAUCUUCCUAUUAAGGGUUUCUUCUCUAUGUUUUCUCAUUCCGAAAGCAACCCGAAUAAAUUCAGAAUAGCUUUACUGCCAUCUUCUGAAAGGACAGUCUUCGUUUGACUAAAACAAUAAAGGAAUUGCAAUAUG
This is a non-coding RNA of Notechis scutatus (mainland tiger snake), 1195 nucleotides long. The record is from RefSeq and is a predicted model, not a curated record. NCBI's taxonomy places the organism in Eukaryota, Metazoa, Chordata, Lepidosauria, Squamata, Elapidae.